UACGGGGGGGGCAAGCGUUGUUCGGAAUUACUGGGCGUAAAGGGCUCGUAGGCGGCCAACUAAGUCGGACGUGAAAUCCCCAGGCUCAACCUGGGAACUGCGUCCGAUACUGGAUGGCUUGAAUUCGGGAGAGGGAUGCAGAAUUCCAGGUGUAGCGGUGAAAUGCGCAGAUAUCAGGAGGAACACCUAUGGCGAAGGCAGCUCGCUGGGACGGUAUUGACGCUGAGACGCGAAAGCGUGGGGAGCGAACAGG
Molecule: ribosomal RNA, 253 nt
Filed under: uncultured bacterium
Lineage: Bacteria
Description: partial 16S ribosomal RNA
Rfam family: Bacterial small subunit ribosomal RNA
Source: RNAcentral